This 474-nucleotide ribosomal RNA is filed under the name Pectobacterium polonicum. RNAcentral's name for it is "bacterial SSU rRNA". It matches the Rfam family "Bacterial small subunit ribosomal RNA", at positions 1 to 471 of the family's 1533-position model. Lineage: Bacteria; Pseudomonadati; Pseudomonadota; Gammaproteobacteria; Enterobacterales; Pectobacteriaceae. The record is from RNAcentral.
AAAUUGAAGAGUUUGAUCAUGGCUCAGAUUGAACGCUGGCGGCAGGCCUAACACAUGCAAGUCGAGCGGUAGCACAGGGGAGCUUGCUCUCUGGGUGACGAGCGGCGGACGGGUGAGUAAUGUCUGGGAAACUGCCUGAUGGAGGGGGAUAACUACUGGAAACGGUAGCUAAUACCGCAUAACGUCUUCGGACCAAAGAGGGGGACCUUCGGGCCUCUUGCCAUCGGAUGUGCCCAGAUGGGAUUAGCUAGUAGGUGAGGUAAUGGCUCACCUAGGCGACGAUCCCUAGCUGGUCUGAGAGGAUGACCAGCCACACUGGAACUGAGACACGGUCCAGACUCCUACGGGAGGCAGCAGUGGGGAAUAUUGCACAAUGGGCGCAAGCCUGAUGCAGCCAUGCCGCGUGUGUGAAGAAGGCCUUCGGGUUGUAAAGCACUUUCAGCGGGGAGGAAGGCGGUGAGAUUAAUACUCUCA